GCUACCUCUGCCUCAAUUUUAUCCCACAACUUAGACAUUCACAUUACUCACACCCUCAUUACACAUACUUAUAGGAUCUUGGGGAUGGGCAUGAUACACGGAGUCCAAGUUACCAUCAGGGUGUACACCUCACCCCUGGCAUCGUUGCCCACCUCUCAAUUUUAAAUACACGUAGACAUUGAGGGCUAGCAGGAGGGACUACGCGCUUACCUGCUGCUCUCUGGCAGGUAGCUCCAUGCCCUCCUGGGUUUUAAUUGCACCUUAGAACACACAUGCAUCAACACUACAAUGAGCGGGUGGAGGGAGGUUUGGAGUCUUCUCUCACCCCCAUUCUCUGCGGCCUGCUGGAGCGGGGGGGCUAGGAGGAGUUGGCCGUCCGGCUGCGGUCUGGGGUGUGGGGCCUCCCUGCUGCUGCGGAGUCGGGGUGGUCUGCCUCUCGCCAUCGCAGGGAAAAGGGUAAUACCACCUUGGUCAGGGUGCAGUUCCCCCCUCCAGGGGCAAGGGUACCUAGACCCAGUUUGUAGAGUACGCUUGGGGAGUGUGAUCGUGUAUACAGCGUCUCUUUAUGUCUGUCUCCACGUCGGUUGAGUGUGAAGUGCACAUGAGAGCAUGAGGGUGGGAAUGGAUGUUUGUGUCUGUGUGUGCCUGUAUGUCUGUGUCUAUAUGUCAGGUUGGGUAUCAGACGCCACCUCUCUGGGGACAUCUCGGGCCCUCCAAGGUUUGGAGGACUUUCUCCACCCACCACCACUUCCCCUGCCGGUGGCGGACUCCCUCAGGUGUCGGUGCGUUGGUGGUUCUUUGUAUCUGGGGGUGGGCGUCCGGGUACACACCGGCUCACUCCUUGGCGGCCGCUUAUUGGGGCUCGCUCGGGCCACUUCGGAGGUGGGGUGCCCCCGGCCUCUCGGCCUGGGGCUCGGUCACUCAGGCACAGCUGGCUGCCGGCGGAGCUCACACUGCAACUCCCCCUGGCUUCUGCUCCGCGGCUGCUGAAUGAGCCCUCAUCUGGGACUCUUAUUAGCUCUUACUGGGACAGUGGCGCGGGCUGCCCCUCUGUGGGUCUUCCUUGGUCUCUUGUGUUCUGGGGGCCUCUGGAUGUCUGGAGUUUUGAUCUCCUCCAUGCCUGCUUGAUGCCAUAAAGGACGGGGCUGUGGCUCCACGGGUGAAGUGUCUUGCCCAAGGACGCAACAACCAGUUAAGGCAACCUUCCGAUUACAAGACGAACUGCCAACUCUUGAGCCACGAUCGGUACCACACUCCCUAGCAGAUCAUUACAUGGAGAAACCUUUGGAAUACAAGCAUGCUGAUCCACACAGGUGACCCAGGAGUUUUGUUUUUUUGUUUGUUUGUUUUUUUCUCUCUUCCCCCCCUGCUCACCGUCUCUUCUCCCCUUUGGUUUUCUUUCUUUCUCUCCCUCUCUUUCUUUCGUUCUUUCCCCCUGUCCUAUCCCACAGUCAUGUCUGUCCCGUUUGUAGCAACUGAAAAUAAAAUAAAUUCAUAAUUAUAAUAAAGGUCAAUCAAAUGGACCAAUAUGGCAAGGCCAUGAUGAUCCACUUGGUAAAAUAAAUCCGCUUGGCAUCUUUCUUGGCCUCAAGACAACAAUUCUGAUGGCUAUAGAUCCAAACGGGACACAAAAACAAACAAACAAAAAAAAAACAGCAUGAUUUUUUUUUUUUGUUUUCCAUGUAAAAGCUAGCACUGAGCUUUAUAUCCAUAAUCACAUACUGUGUAUGCUACCAUUGUAUGAAGUUUAUUAACUUACUUAUCAAUCAAUCAAUUAAUCAAUCAAUCAAGGCUUUAUUCGCCACGUGCAGGUUGCCCUGCAGUGAAAUGGGACCCCCCCUUCGACC
This is a long non-coding RNA of Astatotilapia calliptera (eastern happy), 1847 nucleotides long. The record is from Ensembl. NCBI's taxonomy places the organism in Eukaryota, Metazoa, Chordata, Actinopteri, Cichliformes, Cichlidae.